UUCCAGAGAUGGAUUGGUGCCUUCGGGAACUGUGAGACAGGUGCUGCAUGGCUGUCGUCAGCUCGUGUUGUGAAAUGUUGGGUUAAGUCCCGCAACGAGCGCAACCCUUAUCCUUUGUUGCCAGCGAUUAGGUCGGGAACUCAAAGGAGACUGCCAGUGAUAAACUGGAGGAAGGUGGGGAUGACGUCAAGUCAUCAUGGCCCUUACGACCAGGGCUACACACGUGCUACAAUGGCGCAUACAAAGAGAAGCGACCUCGCGAGAGCAAGCGGACCUCAUAAAGUGCGUCGUAGUCCGGAUUGGAGUCUGCAACUCGACUCCAUGAAGUCGGAAUCGCUAGUAAUCGUGGAUCAGAAUGCCACGGUGAAUACGUUCCCGGGCCUUGUACACACCGCCCGUCACACCAUGGGAGUGGGUUGCAAAAGAAGUAGGUAGCUUAACCUUCGGGAGGGCGCUUACCACUUUGUGAUUCAUGACUGGGGUGAAGUCGUAACAAGGUAACCGUAGGGGAACCUGCGGUUGGAUCACCUCCUUACCUUAAAGAAGC
This 547-nucleotide ribosomal RNA is filed under the name Salmonella enterica. RNAcentral describes it as "bacterial SSU rRNA". It matches the Rfam family "Bacterial small subunit ribosomal RNA", at positions 998 to 1533 of the family's 1533-position model. Lineage: Bacteria; Pseudomonadati; Pseudomonadota; Gammaproteobacteria; Enterobacterales; Enterobacteriaceae. The record is from RNAcentral.